GCUAUCCCCGUCUCUUCGGUUGCUUCUGAAUCAGCUUUUAGUACAGGGAAGCGUGUCCUUGACCCAUUUCGGAGCUCUUUAUCUCCUAGGACAGUUGAGGCCCUGAUUCUAACACAGAACUGGUUGCGCACACCUCUGAAUAUUGAUGUAUCAAGCUUUGCAGUUGAUAAUGCUGAAGAGUUUGAGACAGAUAUCCUAGGCCCCGUGACUGCAGAAGAUUGAUAGAGGGAGCUAAUGACAACUAAUGGUAUUUGAUUAAUGGUGCUACUUGGAAGAAACUAUGGAAUAAUCUAUCCUAUUGGAGUUUCACUUACACAUUAGCUGAAGAAUACCUGGAGUUUGCAUAUUAGUUGAAGAAUAAAACCUUAGUGAUAUCGUUCGUUCAUUCUUUAUUCAUUCAUUCUUUAUUCUUACAGAAGUAUCAAAACAGUUGAUUGGUUUUCUUUUUGUCUUGCUUUCAAUUUGCUUGAGAUUACAGUUCGGUUAAGAGAUUUUUCAGUAGAUUAUUGAAUUUAUUAUUAUUAUUAGCAAAUUUCUUUUUAGUUUUUACUGUUACAGAAAGUAAAGUCUUCAGUUUUCACAUAUUAA
This is a long non-coding RNA of Papaver somniferum (opium poppy), 588 nucleotides long. RefSeq lists it as uncharacterized. NCBI's taxonomy places the organism in Eukaryota, Viridiplantae, Streptophyta, Magnoliopsida, Ranunculales, Papaveraceae. The transcript is spliced from 3 exons. The record is from RefSeq and is a predicted model, not a curated record.